AACGCGAAGAACCUUACCUGGGCUCGAAAUGUAGUGGAAUCCGGCAGAAACGUCGGCGUCUAGCAAUAGACCGCUAUAUAGGUGCUGCAUGGCUGUCGUCAGCUCGUGUCGUGAGAUGUUGGGUUAAGUCCCGCAACGAGCGCAACCCUUAUCUUCAGUUGCUACCAUUUAGUUGAGCACUCUGACGAAACCGCCUCGGAUAACGGGGAGGAAGGUGGGGAUGACGUCAAGUCCUCAUGGCCUUUAUGUCCAGGGCUACACACGUGCUACAAUGGCCGGUACAAACCGCUGCAAACCCGCGAGGGGGAGCUAAUCGGAAAAAGCCGGCCUCAGUUCGGAUUGGAGUCUGCAACUCGACUCCAUGAAGCUGGAAUCGCUAGUAAUCGUGGAUCAGCAUGCCACGGUGAAUACGUUCCCGGGCCUUGUA
Molecule: ribosomal RNA, 427 nt
Filed under: uncultured Acidobacterium sp.
Lineage: Bacteria; Pseudomonadati; Acidobacteriota; Terriglobia; Terriglobales; Acidobacteriaceae
Description: bacterial SSU rRNA
Rfam family: Bacterial small subunit ribosomal RNA
Source: RNAcentral